This 67-nucleotide transfer RNA is filed under the name Opisthotropis kuatunensis (Chinese mountain keelback). RNAcentral's name for it is "tRNA-Ile". The record is from RNAcentral. Lineage: Eukaryota; Metazoa; Chordata; Lepidosauria; Squamata; Natricidae.
GGAGGCGUACCCAAGAGCAGGGACUACCUUGAUAGCGUAGACACGGAAUAUAACAUUCCCGCCUCCC